Long non-coding RNA from Rhea pennata, 838 nucleotides. RefSeq lists it as uncharacterized. Lineage: Eukaryota; Metazoa; Chordata; Aves; Rheiformes; Rheidae. The transcript has 3 exons. The record is from RefSeq and is a predicted model, not a curated record.
GGCUGUGCUGGUGCCUGCUCAGGGCAUAGGGCAGGCUCCCCAGAGGUCUGUACGGUCUCCUGUGUUACAGUCUUUGCUGCUGCUGCAGGAAAGCAAGCCAGGUUUCCAUAUCUCCUGCACAACCAAUCCCAAGAAAAAGAGAGCUCUACAUAGACCUACAGUUCUGGUAGCUAAGAGUCGUUCUCCCGGCGGCAGCUUCCUGCUGGAUUUGACUCGCGGGCGAGGUGCUAAGAUCCUUACGGCAGAGCGUCGGCGCUCCGAGCGCAAGGCCGGCGGGACGAGGCUGCCCCGGCCGGCGCCGGGCUGCUCUCCCGCGUCGGCGCUCUUGGCUUCGCCUUUCGGCACCCCCGGAGGUCUGCUUUAAGCAGCUUUGCUUCCCUGCUGCCCUAUGAUAAAACACGACGUUGUGCCCGAAUCUCUGACAUCCGGGGCCUGAUUCCGUUUCCAUGGGGGGUGGAAUCCUGUUGUUUUCCGCAGAUGCGAGUGGCAGAGGGAGGAGGUCGCAUCCCGGCUCCGCCUGGCCCCCGCGGCCGCCGCUGCCCAGCCGAGGGCCACGGGCGCUUUACUCUUGCGCUCCUUCUGCUCGUGUCACCUUUAUCUGGACGGUUUUUCCCUCCAAUCAUAAAAUUUCCACUUUUAAUAUUUUAAACUCUUAUUUCUCAUAAAACCCCCAAGUAUGAAAAUUUCUUCUAAAGAAAUAUACCAUUAAUGUAUCUUUAUGAUGUGCAGCUGAUGCUCACAGCAUGGGCUAUGACUUUUUUAUGUUCCCUACUUGUCCUUGAGACAUUUUAUUUUGACACCGUAUCCUUAUAUGUUAAAUUAAAACAUAUUUUUAUUA